This 212-nucleotide unclassified non-coding RNA is filed under the name Hevea brasiliensis (rubber tree). The record is from RNAcentral. Lineage: Eukaryota; Viridiplantae; Streptophyta; Magnoliopsida; Malpighiales; Euphorbiaceae.
UACCAUGGCGCCUCUAAAACAGGGUUGGCCACAAUUUGGUUAUGGGUUGAAAUUGGAAUCAGAUCAACGUUUCAGGGACAGGGAGAACAGGACCAGAUCGAAGGAUCUCUUAAUUCUUAUUUUAGUUUUAGCUCACUCCAGAUUGAUUUAACUCAAUUUUGGUCAAAUCCGAUCAUCAAAAUUUGAUCGGUUUCAGUUUAGACCAACUACAA